AUGUAUGUUUUAUUGCAUAUUUUGCAGAUCACAGAUGAGGGAAAGAAAGCAGAACUCAGAAAUAACAUAGUUGGGAUAUUAAAAAACAGCCAAAUUCAACACAGCAAUAUUACAAAAGAAGAACAAUCAGCCAUGACAGCUUUAUCCAAAAAUGAACAGAUAAUUAUUCUACCGGCAGACAAAGGAAGAACCACAGUAGUUAUGGACAGAGAAAAAUAUAAACAACAGAUGAAACAGAUGCUAGAAGACAAAAAUACAUAUGAAAUACUUAAAAAAGAUCCAACAGAAAACAUUAAGAAAAACAUGAAAAAAUUACUGAAGCCACUGCACGAAAAAGGCAAAAUAACAGAAAAAAUGUACAAACACUGGAUUCCCACAGCAAACAUAACACCAAGAAUAUAUGGAACACCAAAAAUACAUAAACAAAACACCCCACUUAGACCAAUAGUUGACAGCAUAGGUACACCAACAUACAACAUGGCAAAAGAUAUCAGCAGAAUCAUCAGCCCGUUAUUAGGAAAUACAGACCAACACUGCAAAAAUAGUAUAGAAUUGGCAAAAGAACUAAAGGAAAUUACAAUAGAAGACAACGACAUACUCAUCUCACAUGACGUCACAUCUCUGUUCACAAAAACACCAACCCAAAAAACCAUAGACAUAGUAGUUAACAGAAUCAGACAAGACAAAACUUUACAUAAAAGGACAAACCUCACAGCAGAUGACAUAGCACAACUGAUAGGACUGGUAGCUAACUCCACUUACUUCACAUACGACAACACAAUAUACAAACAACUGGAAGGCUUCGCCAUGGGUAACCCGUUAUCAGCCACCCUGUGCGAGUUUUUCAUGGAAGACCUGGAACAAAAAGCCAUAGCCACCGCCCCCCCAAACUGCAAAAUAAAACUAUGGAAACGCUACGUAGACGACAUACUGGAAAUCAUACCAAAAGAACUAAAGGAAAUUACAAUAGAAGACAACGACAUACUCAUCUCACAUGACGUCACAUCUCUGUUCACAAAAACACCAACCCAAAAAACCAUAGACAUAGUAGUUAACAGAAUCAGACAAGACAAAACUUUACAUAAAAGGACAAACCUCACAGCAGAUGACAUAGCACAACUGAUAGGACUGGUAGCUAACUCCACUUACUUCACAUACGACAACACAAUAUACAAACAACUGGAAGGCUUCGCCAUGGGUAACCCGUUAUCAGCCACCCUGUGCGAGUUUUUCAUGGAAGACCUGGAACAAAAAGCCAUAGCCACCGCCCCCCCAAACUGCAAAAUAAAACUAUGGAAACGCUACGUAGACGACAUACUGGAAAUCAUACCAAAAGGUCAAACAGAAACACUAACACAACACUUAAACAAUAUUGACGACACGGGCAACAUAAAAUUCACUUAUGAGUUAGAAACAGAAGGCAGCAUAGCAUUUAUGGACAUGAAAAUCACCAGGCAGACCGACGGGACCCUAAACAUAAACACAUACAGGAAACCAACACACACAGACCAAUAUCUAUUAUGGACAUCAGAACACCCCACCAUACACAAAAUGUCAGUAAUCAGAACAUUAUAUCACCGAGCAAACAUAAUAACAGAAGAGAGAGACCGUAAACAAGAGGACAAACACAUACAACACGCUUUAAAGACCUGCAGAUACCCGACAUGGGCAAUAAACAAAGGAAAACAACAAACAAAAACAGAAAGCAAAGAACAACCCAAAAAAAGAACCAGAAACCCAGAAAGACAAGAACCAAAACCAGUGAUAACCCUACCAUACAUCAGAGGCAUAACGGAAAAAAUAAGAGCAACAAUGAAAAAACACAACAUAAACACACCAACAAAGCCAUACACAACAGUUAGAAACAGACUAGUACACCCAAAAGACAAAAUAUCAGCUGGACAAAAAUGUGGAGUCAUCUACGAAAUCCCAUGCAAAAUAUGCAAUAAAACAUACAUAGGAGAAACCGGACGCCAACUCAAUACACGGACAAUAGAACACAGAAAGGAGUGCGAGAAAGAGGCAAAUCGUAAACACACAAGAGCAGCAAAAGAAGAAGCAGAAAGUACAAUAAAAAAGUCAGCCGUAACAGAUCAUUGCUUAAGAGAAAACCAUAUAAUGGACUGGGACAGCACACGGAUCAUAACCACCGAACAACAAAAAUACAAAAGAUGGAUCAAGGAAGCAAUAGAGAUAAGGAGACGUGGAUGUGGGACCAUGAACAGGGACGACGGAGUUUACACGCUGGACCACGCAUGGGACUGCAUCGUCGGAGAGGGGAGAGCGGGCAGUAGAGGGCGACAACGUCCUCUGCUGCCCGCAGAUAAACGGAGAAGGAAGUGACGCGCCACCAUCAGCGUCAGCCUGAAGAAGCCGGCAGCUGUCGGCGAAACCGUAGCUACAAACAGGUAAACAAAACUGUUUCUGUGUUUAAAAAAGAACGAAAGCAUGGAUUUUCAAAGACACAGCAAGAACACACCUAAAAUGUCGUCAUCGUCACAGAGCUGAUCUGUGAUGAUGUGACCCAAAUAUUUUGCUUUGUCACUGACACAUUUCUUCUUGUCGACCAAGUAGAGGUCUGUUAACUAAAGAUCUUUAUCCCCUUUGGUUCGACAAAUUAGCACAACACUCUUUUUUGCAUUAAACUGUGCAUCGUACUUCAGCCCAUAUUCAGAGCAUGUGUUUAGCAGCUGAUGAAAACCAGCACUGCUGGGUGAAAUGAUGGCCAUGUCAUCAGCAUACAUGCGAUGAUUAAUCAGAUUGAGACAUAAAUGCAAUAAAAAUAAACUACUCAGAGUUAACCCCUGUUCAUAUUUUUUCAAAUACAAACUUUUUAAGUCAUGUUAAUCUAUCUUUUAAUCUAAGGUAAUUGAAUUUUAUUUAAAAUUUCAUUCAAACAUUUCUUUAGAUUGUUUUUAAGAUUUUUCUGUGCAUUCUUAAAUACUUAGGUAUUAAAAUAGUGGUCCAGAAUCUAUAUUUAAAAUAGAGAGCUGUGUGUGCUCUGUCUUCUCGAUCCCCAGUGAGUCGUGGAGGAUGGCUGCUUAUACUGAGCCAGGAUCCUCUGGAGGUUUUUUCCUGUUAAAAGGGAGUUUUCCUCUCCACUGUUGCUACAUGCUUGCUUAGUAUGAGGAUUGCUUUAAGUACACUGACACCAGUCAGUGACUCAAUGCAGUUUGCUGGGUUCCUUAUAUAGGAAACGUUUUACUCAUUGGCUUAAUGAACUGACCUGCAUUGUAACGUUAACUUUGUUCAGUGCCUUGAGAUGACUCUUGUCGUGAUACUGCGCUACGUAAACAAACUGAACUGUGUAGCGUAGGCAAAUCGCUGAUUUUUAUUUGUUAUGACCAAGAAGAUGUAACAUUCUAUGUAAAUAUAAAACAUUAACCAGCUAGGUCUUUAUUGUAAUAAUCAAAAGAUUCUAGGAUUUAAUUCAGAAGAUCUAGGUUCUUUGCUUUUUCAGUGAUCAACCACACUUUGUGUUACUUCAAGAAAGAGUCAGGUUUAUAAAAGUAAGAAUUUAUUUUGCAAACAGUUGAAACAUGACAAAUUAACUAAGCAUUUACUGUGAGUGGAUGUAACUAAACAUGAUGAAGGAACCUAUGUGUGAAUGUGAUGUCAGUCAGAACUUCCUUAUCAAAGUAAGCUGAGCUCUGGUGAAAAGAAUUUGGUUUGCUCUAAGCUAUAAAGUUCUUAUCAUCAGAAGAACAUCAGACGCGAUCUGUCAUGUCUACUUCACCCGUUUCAUAGAGACCCUGUUGGUGGAUCCAAAAGUCGCAGGGGUCAGCUGACCUCUGGCACCGGAGGGCUGUAGAAUACCGUGGUACCAACUCUUCAGUCCAGAGUUGUCUUGGGUCACAACAGCUGGAUGGAACCGUGCGUCUGGCGGACUCUUAAGGAGUCUAACAAUUGGGUCAUUCCCAUCUGUACCGGGCCGGGUAGCGUAGGUUGUUUACAUAUCUGGGUGGCCUGGUAUUUUUCCAGGCCAACCAAGGCUCAUUCUCAGCCCUCUUCUUGAGGGGGUCUGCUUCAGGCCGACCAGGGCCAACACACCCACUGCUGACAGCAAAUUCACACCUUCCAUUAGAGCAAGCCUCUGAUUGGUGGGUAGAAUCAGCCCACAUGGGCUUAAGACAAGGAUGUGUGGAAUCAACCGGGCCAGGCUGGGGCCGACUGGGGCUACCCGGCCCGGGCCGACCCGGUACAGAUGGGAAUGGCCCAU
Molecule: long non-coding RNA, 4219 nt
Filed under: Nothobranchius furzeri (turquoise killifish)
Lineage: Eukaryota; Metazoa; Chordata; Actinopteri; Cyprinodontiformes; Nothobranchiidae
Description: lncRNA (ENSNFUG00015003424.1)
Source: RNAcentral